RNAcentral lists this unclassified non-coding RNA (230 nucleotides) under Hevea brasiliensis (rubber tree). The record is from RNAcentral. Lineage: Eukaryota; Viridiplantae; Streptophyta; Magnoliopsida; Malpighiales; Euphorbiaceae.
AUGGAGACAGCUGUGGUGGGGGAGGAGUACUGCGUGACGGAGAAGGAGGGGGAGAGGGAGCUCACGGUGCGGAAGACGUCGCUCUUCUUCCCCGGCGACGGCUUCGAGGCUUACGAUCACCACACCGGCGAUCUCGUCUUUCGUGUUGAUAUGUACGGCCGCGGCAACUCCGUCGCCGCCGAUCAGUUGCUACUCAUGGAUCCCGGCGGCGCUCCGAUCCUCACCGUCCG